RNAcentral lists this ribosomal RNA (253 nucleotides) under uncultured bacterium. RNAcentral describes it as "partial 16S ribosomal RNA". It matches the Rfam family "Bacterial small subunit ribosomal RNA", at positions 524 to 776 of the family's 1533-position model. The record is from RNAcentral.
UACGUAGGGGGCUAGCGUUGUCCGGAAUCAUUGGGCGUAAAGAGCGUGUAGGCGGUCCGGUAAGUCCGCUGUGAAAGUCGGGGGCUCAACCCUCGAAUGCCGAUGGAUACUGCCGGGCUAGAGUCCGGAAGAGGCGAGUGGAAUUCCUGGUGUAGUGGUGAAAUGCGUAGAGAUCGGCAGGAACACCCAGGGGGAAACCAGUCGACUGGGCAUCUACUGACGCUGAGGUGCGAGAGCGUGGGGAGCGAACCGG